This is a long non-coding RNA of Dermochelys coriacea (leatherback sea turtle), 1126 nucleotides long. RefSeq lists it as uncharacterized. NCBI's taxonomy places the organism in Eukaryota, Metazoa, Chordata, Testudines, Dermochelyidae. The transcript has 2 exons. The record is from RefSeq and is a predicted model, not a curated record.
GAGACACAUGGAAGAGCCACUUGUGGCUCAUGAGCGUCAGGCUGAGUCUCACUGGUCUACCCAAUGAUGAGGCUCAGUUGGGAAGGUCAAACUGAGAGUUAGGGCUCCUGAGAGCCUGGGACACAACCUUAUGCUGCUAUAAGGCAGGGCAGGGUCUGGCUUGGGGUAAUCUCUCAGCAGCUAGAGGUGGCCCAUCUGUGGCCACAGCUCAAGUGCAGAGAGAGGAAAGGGAAGUGUCUGAAGUGAGGGAGGAGUCUCUAUUUUCUGAUUGAGCACUGCAGGGUGGCAAAUGCUCGGAGAUGCAGAGUAGGUGAUAAAGCAGCCAGCUAGCUGGAGUGAGCUUAGCAGGGGAAGUAAAGGGAAGAGAUGGUAGAAGCUAGAGAUGGAAGAGUCCUAUGGGGGCACCUGGGUCCAGGCUUGGCUAGGCCAGGACUGUUCCCUACAGCAGGGCCAUGUAAUGAAAGAGCCAUGCUGAGGGCAGGGAAAGGUCAAUGGCAUCUACUGAGAGCAGGCCAAACUGUGAGUUCAGCUGGGAAACUGGUAACCAGCUGAGGCCACUACAGACUGAGCUAUUGGACCAGCAACUUGAUCCAGGCCAGGACCAGCCUGCAAGGAUCUCUUAGCACUUCAGCCUGUGAUACUGAAGGAGCACAGUCUCCCUCUGCUCAGUGCCCAGAUGGAAUUUCCAGGGUCAAAGAAUCAUGUGCAUUUUGUGAUAAUUAGUCCAGAAGAUGCAGGCCAGGGAGAGCAAGGAUGCUGUGGUUGAAACCUCAGCUCAUGUACUCUGAGGCCUUUCAGCAGUAGCCUGAGCUGACCAAUGAAUGCCCCUUCCAGAGUAUCUCAGCUAGGAUUCAUUUACCUCAAGAAAGGGAUACCUGGGUCUGGGUUUCCUUUCUCCUGUCUGUCCAGGACUCUGCAUCAUCUUCUCCUGAUGGCUCCUGAGUGCUGGAUUGCAAAUGUUCCAACACCUCCAAAGAAAUGAUCACAGAAGGAGAGAAGAAAAACCUCCAAACUCCACCUUGCCCUACGAACUUCAGUCUAAACUGAGAUGCAAACCCACUAUUGCCAGCUCCCCGCAUUCAAUGAGAUUUUAAAAAUGAAAUAAAAUUUGGGCUCUUUUUGUUUC